Molecule: ribosomal RNA, 474 nt
Filed under: uncultured bacterium
Lineage: Bacteria
Description: bacterial SSU rRNA
Rfam family: Bacterial small subunit ribosomal RNA
Source: RNAcentral
CUACGCACUCCUACGGGAGGCAGCAGUGGGGGAAUAUUGCACAAUGGGCGCAAGCCUGAUGCGGCCAUGCCGCGUGUAUGAAGAAGGCCUUCGGGUUGUAAAGUACUUUCAGCAGUGAGGAAGGUGGGUAUGUUAAUAGCAUACUCAUUUGACGUUAGCUGCAGAAGAAGCACCGGCUAACUCCGUGCCAGCAGCCGCGGUAAUACGGAGGGUGCGAGCGUUAAUCGGAAUUACUGGGCGUAAAGCGCAUGCAGGUGGUUUGUUAAGUCAGAUGUGAAAGGCCCGGGGCUCAACCUCGGAAUUGCAUUUGAAACUGGACAAACUAGAGUACUGUAGAGGGGGUAGAAUUUCAGGUGUAGCGGUGAAAUGCGUAGAGAUCUGAAGGAAUACCGGUGGCGAAGGCGGCCCCCUGGACAGAUACUGACACUCAGAUGCGAAAGCGUGGGGAGCAAACAGGAUUAGAUACCCUGGUAG